Molecule: long non-coding RNA, 2611 nt
Filed under: Canis lupus familiaris (dog)
Lineage: Eukaryota; Metazoa; Chordata; Mammalia; Carnivora; Canidae
Description: lncRNA (ENSCAFG00030008579.1)
Source: RNAcentral
UAUUAGUUUCUUUGUUUGAAAAUAGAAAUGAUGGGGAUGCCUGGGUGGCUCAGUUGGUUGAGCAUCACACUCUUGUUUUCAGCUUAAGUUGUGAUUGGUGAGAUCAAGCUCUGUGUCAGACUUUGAACUAGGCAUGAGGCCUGCUUGAGAUUCUCUCUCUCCCACUGCCUCCCCUGCCCCCCACUCGUGCAUGCAUGCGCAGUCUCUCUCUAAAAUUAAAAUAAUAAAAUAAAAUAAAAUAAAAUAAAAUAAAAUAAAAUAAAAUAAAGAAAAGAAAAAGAAAGAAAAUAAAAUGGAGAUUAUGGUAGUUAUCUUGUUAUGUUUUCCUAAGAACUAAGAAAUUGCAUAUAAACAAUCAAUUUAUUUAGCAUAAAGAGGUUAAAGAUACAAGACUAAUAUUUAUUGAAUAAAUUCCAUGUGCCAAGUACUAAGUGGUAACUACUUUAUUGCAUUGUUUUAUUGAAUAUGCACAACACUGCUUAAGAAUAGAAGCUAUUAUUGUUCUCCCUUUACAGAUGAAGAAACUGUACUAUCGUAAAACUAUGUGAGUUGCCUUUAGAUAGCAUACUGCUCUGACAGUUGUUUGAGUGCAGUCCUUUCUGAUGCCAAAGUUUCUGUACUUACAUUCAUUCAUAAAAUCAACAAACAUUUAUUGGGUAGCUAACAAAAGCCAGGCUUCUUUUGGCUGGAAUGCCAUGCUAUUUCCAAAAUGAUUAUUGCUUAGAAUAUAACAACUGUAUGUUUAUAAGACACAUUAUAGUUUACAAAUAAUUUAUGAGUAAGUAAUUUUGUUUACUGAUGAUAUACCCCGUAUGAAAGACAAAGUUGGGAUUAUUACAUGUAUUUUACAGAUGGAAACAUUGAGGUCCCAAGAGGUUAACUGGCUCACUGGAUGUCUUACAUGCUCAGUGCUUUUCAGAUUCUCUGGGUGAGAAGAGAAAAACAAAAUGCAGCUUUCAAGGUUGGUACUUUUCAUGAUGUUUUAAAACGUCUUGUUAAUAUGAAACAGUAUAAAAGAAGCAGAACAAAAUAUAUCCUUAGCUUCUCACAGAUAGUGAUUAGAGGACAUUAUGUUUUUAUUUUUCAUACUCAUGGAUGGAAAAGUCUAACAGAGAUUGUAACAGAAUGCAAUAUAGCAAUCAAAUAUUAUUCCUGAUUAAAUCCUUGUCAAAAUUAUAGAGUUAGAAAUAUUCAGUAUUUUUCUACCUCAUCCAUCCAUUUAUCCAUUCACCCACGAAUCCAUUAAUCCAUCCAUUUACCAUUAUGGUUUUUUUCAGUAAAUACUUAUUACUUACAUAUCAUAUAUAAACCCUGCCAUCUGAUAUUCCAUCGUUUAUACUUUGUUUGGCUCACUCUCACCGUAUCCUUAAUCCUACAUCUUCCAACCUUUCUCACUGUUUCAGGUAACAAACUUUCACCUCUUAUCACAGGUUUUCAAUUUAGCUUGCUGUAUUUGAUAAAGGAACAGUGUUUCCACAAUGUUGCUUAGCCUAAUAGGCUUUCAAAUAUAUCUACUCCCAAAUAAUUGGGGCAAAAAGGAAAUCAUCAAUGUGAUAAUAAGGAAAAGACUCCUUUCUACAUAAUGAUGCAUUGUGUAAUGCCUUUCACUGUUUUGUGAUAUGUAUUAUUAUAUGUAGAUUAUCAUUGUGUAGUUUAGAAAUAUAUCUAUAUACAGUACUCUAUAAUAUCAGCUACUCUUCCUCAAAAUUCUAGUGUAUAGUUCUUUUUACCUUGUUAGCAAUCUUAAGACUUUCUGAAGAACAAAUGUAUUACACUAUGAACAAGGCAUUACAGAUGCAUAUGAAUGGCCCUUUGUAAGAACAACAGUGGUAGAUUGAAGCAAAUUUCAUGAGAAGCAGAGACUGAGCAAGAGUUAGUGAAUGGAAAUUUGAUAGUAGAAUACUCCUUAUAUUAAGGUAGAUAAAUAUUGUUAUAACUUGUAGGGCUAUUUUAUUGUUCCAUUUUAACGAACACUGGUAUCCUUAUUUUUAAAAUAUUUAUUUACUUUCAGAAUACUUAUUUUAAAAGGGCUUUCUCAAGUACUCCUUUACUAUCCUUGAUUUCCCCUAACUCAUUUAAAAAAAAUAAGGUCCCGAGGUCCUCAGUAGAAAAUUCUGCUACCAGAGGUGUGCUUUCAGAAACUUAACUGUGAUAAUUGGGAAGGGACUUUAGUGUCUGUCUGCUGAUCUAAUUUAAUUUAACUAACCUAAAUUAAAAUAGUCCUAUAUUAUCUCAGCCAUCAAUCUAUUUAAUUAUAAUACUUACUGAGAGGCAGUAAGUAGUGGUUGAGAAGUUAGGCUCUAGAAUCAGAUUGCCUGAAUUUCAAUCCUGUUUACUCAUCUACUAUUUGUGUGUUGAGUGAACUUAUUAGCAUCUCUAAUACUUGAUUUCCCUCGUUGUAAAAUGAGAGAAAAAAAGAGUCUUUAUCUCAUAUGGUUGUUGGGGAAUAAAUGAGAUGACGUAUUUACAAAUUACAUUGGCAUAUUGUAAGAACGUAGUAAAGAGAUAGUUGCCAUUAUUACUUUGUUUCAUGACUAUUGUAAAACGUUAUUAUUAGAGGUAGGCAGCAUCUCUACUUCUCUGAAUUAAACUUCUCUCACGGACUUGAUCU